CUAGCUCCUCCCCCCGUUUGCCUUGGUUUGGUUGUACCACUCACGCCUCCUGGUAGUGGCAGCUCUCUGCCUACCUUCGCAUGCGCUCCUUCCUGACUGAGAGCAUCCGCAGGGGGACACCACAGACCUGGGUGCGUACCCGCACACGCGGGCUAAUCUGCUGCGCCGUCUUUUUUCCGUCUAGGAUUAUAUAGACUACUACGAGCUGUGUUUUUAAUUAGUCUAUUGCUUUAUUGCGUGGAAAGGGGCGGAUAACUCCAGAAUUCGUGGAUGAGCACCAGGAGGAGGGGGAAGUAAUAUUGCUCCAGGGGCCUAGUGAGCAAAUGGUUUGAUGUGAAAGAUUGGUUUGGAAAAGGAAAGGAGAGAGGGGACUCCAAGCGCGGCAGAGGUUUAUGGCGGUCCACAAAGCGCGGCUGCUUUUAAGAAAGACAGUCGACCGUGAGGCAGAGCACGUACAGUUGCUGUUUGUUGGCCAGUUUGCGAUUUUUGCGGCGGACCCCGAUCAGGUCGGGGGUGGCCAGGGGCUGGGAUUGG
RNAcentral lists this long non-coding RNA (534 nucleotides) under Volvox carteri. Its description in RNAcentral is "long non-coding RNA (VCAR_LNC001041)". Lineage: Eukaryota; Viridiplantae; Chlorophyta; Chlorophyceae; Chlamydomonadales; Volvocaceae. The record is from RNAcentral.